GUUAGUUCUGUGCUAAAUAAGUAGAUAAAUAAUAAAUAAGUACAUAAAUGCAAUAGCUAACAUUAAUGCAUUGAGCAAUUAUGCAACACAAUUUAACUUGAAGCACGGAAAUUACAAUCCAAACAAACACGAGCAUGAAAAAUGUCCCGUUGCAUUAAGAGUCCUUAUUCUCAUUUAGUAAGUACCUCCAUGCUGAAGGCAGUUGCAUGGAAGGCUUAUUGUUUAUAAUGUCCUGGUGGGGGCUUCUAUUCAGUAUCUCUGUUGUCUCUUGUGUGACCGCUUGUGCUGGCACUAUAAGUGAUUUAAGGACCUUUGCACUGGCCCAAUCUAUAUGUAGCUACUCAGAAAACACUUCUUCAGUCAGUGCUGUGGUAAUCCUUCCUGCUUUGAUAUUCCUCCUAUGCUCUUGUAUUCGUUGAUCGAGCAUCCUAGUAGUGACCCCAAUAUACUCUGCAUGCUUCCUCUCUUGC
This 470-nucleotide long non-coding RNA is filed under the name Androctonus crassicauda. Lineage: Eukaryota; Metazoa; Arthropoda; Arachnida; Scorpiones; Buthidae. The record is from RNAcentral.